UACAGGGGGUGCAAACGUUGCUCGGAAUCAUUGGGCGUAAAGCGCGCGUAGGCGGCCAUCUAAGUCGGAUGUGAAAGCCCUCGGCUUAACCGAGGAAGUGCAUUCGAAACUGACAGUCUUGAGUAUGGAAGAGGGUCGCGGAAUUCCCGGUGUAGAGGUGGAAUUCGUAGAUAUCGGGAGGAACACCAGUGGCGAAGGCGGCGACCUGGGCCAAUACUGACGCUGAGGUGCGAAAGCGUGGGGAGCAAACAGG
RNAcentral lists this ribosomal RNA (253 nucleotides) under uncultured bacterium. RNAcentral describes it as "partial 16S ribosomal RNA". It matches the Rfam family "Bacterial small subunit ribosomal RNA", at positions 524 to 776 of the family's 1533-position model. The record is from RNAcentral.